Molecule: long non-coding RNA, 879 nt
Organism: Carya illinoinensis
Lineage: Eukaryota; Viridiplantae; Streptophyta; Magnoliopsida; Fagales; Juglandaceae
Exons: 2
Source: RefSeq, a predicted model, not a curated record
UCAUGAGUACGUAGUUUCCUUGCAUCGACCUUCUUGGGUUAGGUACUGUUUAUUAAUUAAUUAAUACCAAAGAAAGGAAGAAAAUAAAAACAGCUGAAAUUAGCACACACGUGUGUAUAUAUAUGGUGCAUGGGUGAAUAGGUUUGCAUUGCCUUUCUUUGAAAGAUCAAUGGGUUUCUCUUUAGUCUUCCGUCCUCUCAUGAUUUUAAUUAUUUUGAUCCUCUCCAUGAUCUUCACUGUGCAGCCAACUCGGGUUCAAGCUGCAGAUAUCACGCCUAGAAAACGAGCCUUCCCGCAGCAGAUUAGACCACCUCCUUCCCCAGGACACAGGCCAGGCGCACCUCCGGGAAAUUAGGAUGCAACGCCACCAGCUGAACCACCUCUCAUACCUUGAAGCUAGCUGAGUCAAUGCUCUCAAUCAGUAUUAAGUUUAAAUGUUAAUUAGAUCGGAGUAAUUAAGUGAAUAAAGGAUGGCAACACUGAAUGCAGCUAGCAUCCUUCUUGCUAAGUAAUGACAAUUGAGGCCGGGGACUCAAAAAUGUCUCGUUCGUAUAUAUAUAUGUACUGUGUGUCACGUGUGCGUUUUUGCUUUUCGAAAAGAUUGUUAAUCCCAAAGUUUGUACGUAGUAUAAGGUGUUCGAUUGGAGAAGAAAGAGCUCAGCGUUGUUUGAUCAAUUAUGUUUCUACGAACAGUAUAAUAUGUAACCAACAUCCUGCGCCCAGCCAAUCACUUUCCCUUGUUCUAUUUUCCAUGGGACUUUAUGCAACUGAGCUUUAAAAGUCUUUUGGAUUCUCAUGCUAGAUCUCACUCGUUAUUAACGUAUUAUAUUACUCACUCUGUUGUAUGUGCCCAUUCUAUAUAUACUUCUACUUCCAUAA